RNAcentral lists this ribosomal RNA (492 nucleotides) under uncultured bacterium. RNAcentral describes it as "partial 16S ribosomal RNA". It matches the Rfam family "Bacterial small subunit ribosomal RNA", at positions 29 to 507 of the family's 1533-position model. The record is from RNAcentral.
AGUGAACGCUGGCGGUAGGCCUAACACAUGCAAGUCGAACGGCGGCACAGUAAGAGCUUGCUCUUACGGGUGGCGAGUGGCGGACGGGUGAGGAAUACAUCGGAAUCUACUUUUUCGUGGGGGAUAACGUAGGGAAACUUACGCUAAUACCGCAUACGACCUACGGGUGAAACCAGGGGAUCUUCGGACCUUGCGCGAUUGAAUGAGCCGAUGUCGGAUUAGCUAGUUGGCGGGGUAAAGGCCCACCAAGGCGACGAUCCGUAGCUGGUCUGAGAGGAUGAUCAGCCACACUGGAACUGAGACACGGUCCAGACUCCUACGGGAGGCAGCAGUGGGGAAUAUUGGACAAUGGGCGCAAGCCUGAUCCAGCCAUACCGCGUGGGUGAAGAAGGCCUUCGGGUUGUAAAGCCCUUUUGUUGGGAAAGAAAAGCAGCAGGUUAAUACCCCGCUGUUCUGACGGUACCCAAAGAAUAAGCACCGGCUAACUUCGUG